Molecule: long non-coding RNA, 880 nt
Filed under: Marmota monax (woodchuck)
Lineage: Eukaryota; Metazoa; Chordata; Mammalia; Rodentia; Sciuridae
Source: RNAcentral
GUUUUGUUUGGCGUGUGUGGUUCUAAAAAUAAAGUUAGUUUCUUUUGACAAGUGGCUCCUGAUUGUGCCCAGCCAGACUGUGGCAUUAUUUUAUGUAUUAAGCAAGUUUGUGGUUCCCUUAAGUUCUUGGUGCUGUGAUAUUCAAUAUUAUUUAGGCAUUGAGUGACUAGGUAUUUAUUCCAGUCUUUCUAAUCUGGCUUUUUUUUGUACCUAUCCCAGAAAUUCAGGUAGGUUGUUUAUGCACUCUUAUCCUAUGGAAUUUUUUGCUAUUUAAAAAGUAGAUGGCUCCCUAAGUCCAUAUUUGCCACAAGUGUGUCGCUAAGUGUUUUUUUGUUUGUUUGUUUGUUUGUUUUUUUUGCACUAAAGCAUGCCCCUAGCCUAAGUUCGUCCCAAAUUUGUAACUGAUAUGUUUUUCAGAAUACACUGUAUCUACAAAAGAGUAAUUUUUCCCCAAAAGCUUAUCCUCAAUGUCAGGUUAGGCCCAGACACCUCAUUCAGAGUUAGCAGCCCAUGGUCAGGUACCAGAGAUUCUGUUUAUCUCUGGGCCUCACUAUGGUUGGAGUGGCCCCAAGCUCUUGGUCAACAACUUAUCAUGUCCCUACUUUUCCUUAUCUCAAGCAGACAAUUAUUCUUUCCAUCUUGUGCUGCCUUAGGUUGGAUGCGAAGUCUCCUGGCCUUCAUUGUUGCAAUCCUGAGUCACACUUGGAAGCCAUAACUUGAGAAGGCCUGUUCAGUGCAGUACUAGAAAAGGACCAAGACCCAAGCAUGUAUAAUGUACAUGAGCCUAAGGUAAACUCACAGCAUGAGAUUGUUGUAAAUAGGCACAAGUGAUACUGGCUAAAAUAAAAACACAAUUGUUUGGUAUGUGCAGGCAGAUAUG